RNAcentral lists this ribosomal RNA (74 nucleotides) under Hedyotis uncinella. Its description in RNAcentral is "partial 18S ribosomal RNA". It matches the Rfam family "Eukaryotic small subunit ribosomal RNA", at positions 1763 to 1831 of the family's 1831-position model. Lineage: Eukaryota; Viridiplantae; Streptophyta; Magnoliopsida; Gentianales; Rubiaceae. The record is from RNAcentral.
ACCUUAUCAUUUAGGGGAAGGAGAAGUCGUAACAAGGUUUCUGUAGGUGAACCUGCGGAAGAAUCAUUGCCGAA